UCCUCAAUUUUAUCCUUCAUGCUCCUGAUUCACUCAUUCAACUAUGCUAGUGAUAGGAACUGUGGGACUCCACAUAUAUAGAUGCAAUCCCAGCAGACACUGAUAUUUGAAGCACUGUGUUCUAUAGACCUGCUUUGAGCAAGGCUUUUGAAACCUCAGUUUCCCACAGCAAGAAGUCUCAGAGGCCUUUGCUGGUGCGUUUCCAAAUCAGAUGCCUGUUGAACAAGGAAUUGCAGCAGGGGAUGCCUGUUUGCUACUCUCAGCUACUGAGGAAGAAAGAGGCUGACUCUUCGUACCUGAAAUGUGAAGCCUACCCUGGGAACCUCGAUGAGAAAGGAUAGCUCACCUCCUUUGAUGGCUAUAAGGAAUAAUAUUGAGUACAAAUGGCUUAAAGAUUCUGUAGAAGCAUGUGAGGAGGGGAAAAAGUAAUGAGAACUCAUAUGUUCCCUGAAGAAAGGUUGUACCCAUGUUUGUUUUGUGAAUGAGCUCAUGGAUUGGGAGGACCCUGGUUAUCUGAGUGUGAAAGUGGUGAGAAGUAUCCAUUACAUAGUCCAAAGGUGCUUUUCCACUAACCUAACUGGGGGUGUCAGGUACCCUGAAUAAGUGAGAGAGGAAACAUCCUUUAUCUUAGGCUAGUAUGCUUCUUCCAUAAUUCA
Oxyura jamaicensis (ruddy duck) is the source of this 656-nucleotide long non-coding RNA. RefSeq lists it as uncharacterized. Lineage: Eukaryota; Metazoa; Chordata; Aves; Anseriformes; Anatidae. The record is from RefSeq and is a predicted model, not a curated record. The transcript has 3 exons.